Long non-coding RNA from Sinocyclocheilus grahami, 1023 nucleotides. Lineage: Eukaryota; Metazoa; Chordata; Actinopteri; Cypriniformes; Cyprinidae. The record is from Ensembl.
GCCUAAUGGACAGAAGAGAGGAGGAGGAGAAGAGAGAUGGACCAAAGUACCAAAGAAUCUCAGACAGGAAAAGACCUGGCUUAUGAAAUGAGGGUCGACUUUCAACAAGCGGUUUCUUGUCAAGAGCAACCAUGAAACAAGCAGGCAGAAACACAACGCAGGCAUAAGACAUUUCAGGCGAGAGAGCCACAUCUGAGCCGAAAAGCUGGGAGGCUGAUGACAAGAGAGCUGGUGUUGACAAGGAGCACUUCCUGGCCACAGGCGAUCAAUUCCCCUAUCAGAGGCGUUCUUCAGACAGAAUAGGUUUGGAAUGAACAAUUUCCCAGCUUGCCUCUGAAGUCCAUGGCCUCUUGUCGUCUGUGCUCAAUGUUAUCUAAUCUCAAGCAGUAGGGCUUUAAAAUCCUUCUGAAUGGGCCAACGCACUUCAGAUUACAGUCUGCCCUGUCUGUUGUCUAGAUUUUCUUCCAAACUUCCACUUGGAGCCGUAAGUACCAUUAGCCUCUCCACUGUCACCCCUCAAUAAGACAGAUAAGACUCACUGGGAGGAUGUCAGCAAUGGACGCACAAAGAUGGGCUCCACCUGUGUCAGUUUCCACCCUUAUCCUUCCUGAGACAUACUGGCUCUUGCUUGGCUAUUUUUACCCUAUCUCCUCCAGUAACAGCCUAAACUAAGGGGUCGCUGUCGAUUUAUUGGCAUCCACACAAGUGUAACCACACCAAUGGCCUCCUUCAAGCUACAAGUGAAAGGAAACGCAAGUGCCGAACAGCCAGGGGAUAUGGGCAGGACCAGUCAAUCAUCAUCAGAAGUGAGGGGCGGUAAUAAGAAUGUGGGGAAAUUCCACACUUCCUCACAAAUGAAUUUAAAAUUUCCAGCAGCAAUGAGGCUUGUCGGGAAGAUAAAAGGCAGCAGGAAACCGUGGCCUCAGGAUGGAGAGUGUGGAUGGAGUACAUAAUUUGUUCAGAGCGAACGAGAGAGAGAAAGACAAGUGCAGAGGAGGAGCACUGAAGAAAGAGAAAGGUGGA